RNAcentral lists this ribosomal RNA (497 nucleotides) under uncultured bacterium. RNAcentral describes it as "partial 16S ribosomal RNA". It matches the Rfam family "Bacterial small subunit ribosomal RNA", at positions 28 to 507 of the family's 1533-position model. The record is from RNAcentral.
GAUGAACGCUGGCGGCGUGCCUAAUACAUGCAAGUCGAGCGAACGGACGAGAAGCUUGCUUUUCUGAUGUUAGCGGCGGACGGGUGAGUAACACGUGGAUAACCUACCUAUAAGACUGGGAUAACUUCGGGAAACCGGAGCUAAUACCGGAUAAUAUUUUGAACCGCAUGGUUCAAAAGUGAAAGACGGUCUUGCUGUCACUUAUAGAUGGAUCCGCGCUGCAUUAGCUAGUUGGUAAGGUAACGGCUUACCAAGGCAACGAUGCAUGGCCGACCUGAGAGGGUGAUCGGCCACACUGGAACUGAGACACGGUCCAGACUCCUACGGGAGGCAGCAGUAGGGAAUCUUCCGCAAAGGGCGAAAGCCUGACGGAGCAACGCCGCGUGAGUGAUGAAGGUCUUCGGAUCGUAAAACUCUGUUAUUAGGGAAGAACAUAUGUGUAAGUAACUGUGCACAUCUUGACGGUACCUAAUCAGAAAGCCACGGCUAACUACGUG